This 474-nucleotide ribosomal RNA is filed under the name uncultured bacterium. RNAcentral describes it as "bacterial SSU rRNA". It matches the Rfam family "Bacterial small subunit ribosomal RNA", at positions 21 to 507 of the family's 1533-position model. The record is from RNAcentral.
GGCUCAGGAUGAACGCUGGCGGCGUGCUUAACACAUGCAAGUCGAACGAACGGAGAAGAGCUUGCUCUUCGAAGUUAGUGGCGGACGGGUGAGUAACGCGUGGGUAACCUGCCUCAUGCAGGGGAUAACGUUUGGAAACGAACGCUAAUACCGCAUAAACUAUGGAUUGCCGCAUGGCAAUUAUAGCAAAGAUUUUAUCGGCAUGAGAUGGACCCGCGUUGGAUUAGCUAGUUGGUGAGAUAACAGCCCACCAAGGCGACGAUCCAUAGCCGGCCUGAGAGGGUGAACGGCCACAUUGGGACUGAGACACGGCCCAAACUCCUACGGGAGGCAGCAGUGGGGAAUAUUGCACAAUGGGCGCAAGCCUGAUGCAGCGACGCCGCGUGAAGGAUGAAGGUCUUCGGAUUGUAAACUUCUAUCAGCAGGGAAGAAUAAAUGACGGUACCUGACUAAGAAGCUCCGGCUAACUACGUG